GAUAAGGUAAGCUAAAUUAAGCUAGUGGGCUCAUAACCCAAAAAUGAUCAUCUCCCUUACUG
RNAcentral lists this transfer RNA (62 nucleotides) under Lamprotula gottschei. RNAcentral's name for it is "tRNA-Met". The record is from RNAcentral. Lineage: Eukaryota; Metazoa; Mollusca; Bivalvia; Unionida; Unionidae.